This 418-nucleotide long non-coding RNA is filed under the name Malus domestica (apple). RNAcentral's name for it is "long non-coding RNA (MDOM_LNC014437)". The record is from RNAcentral. Lineage: Eukaryota; Viridiplantae; Streptophyta; Magnoliopsida; Rosales; Rosaceae.
AGAGAAUCCUAGUACAAGAAAGCCAUUAGUUGUCAGAGUUAUCAGCUUCAUUAGCUAGCUGCUGAUCAGCUGGAGGAUGCAAGCCAUAACCAGAUUAAUGGGCUUCAUUUCUUUUGGAAGGUCUCAACGUAGUACGUGCAUGCAUCAUGCAUGCUGUCGUUCAUUUUAAUUUUUUUUUUCUUUAAAGUAUUUUACAUUAAUUGCUAUUUCUUUUCUUAUGCAUUGGGUCUGAUUUCAAACCAGGGCUCCAAAGAUUCUCCGCAUCUUGAGUUUGUCAUCUUCGUCGAUUGUUCAAUGUUGUGGCUCAUAAAUUGACCAAGUUGGUUUUAUUUUUUAAUUUCUUUUAUAGUUGAUUUGAGGAGCUUUUAGAUAUAAUCUAGAGAGCUCUCCCUAUAAAUUGUAUUUAUUUGAAUAAAAU